GAUGAACGCUGGCGGCGUGCCUAAUACAUGCAAGUCGAGCGAACAGAUAAGGAGCUUGCUCCUUUGAAGUUAGCGGCGGACGGGUGAGUAACACGUGGGUAACCUACCUAUAAGACUGGGAUAACUUCGGGAAACCGGAGCUAAUACCGGAUAACAUUUAGAACCGCAUGGUUCUAAAGUGAAAGAUGGUUUUGCUAUCACUUAUAGAUGGACCCGCGCCGUAUUAGCUAGUUGGUAAGGUAACGGCUUACCAAGGCGACGAUACGUAGCCGACCUGAGAGGGGGAUCGGCCACACUGGAACUGGGACACGGUCCAGCAUCCUACGGGAGGCAGCAGUAGGGAAUCUUCCGCAAUGGGCGAAAGCCUGACGGAGCAACGCCGCGUGAGUGAUGAAGGGUUUCGGCUCGUAAAACUCUGUUAUUAGGGAAGAACAAAUGUGUAAGUAACUGUGCACAUCUUGACGGUACCUAAUCAGAAAGCCACGGCUAACUACGUGCCAGCCGCCGCCGUAA
RNAcentral lists this ribosomal RNA (513 nucleotides) under uncultured bacterium. RNAcentral's name for it is "partial 16S ribosomal RNA". It matches the Rfam family "Bacterial small subunit ribosomal RNA", at positions 28 to 523 of the family's 1533-position model. The record is from RNAcentral.